This is a non-coding RNA of Macrostomum lignano, 46 nucleotides long. NCBI's taxonomy places the organism in Eukaryota, Metazoa, Platyhelminthes, Macrostomidae. The record is from Rfam.
AAAAUGGCCCUUUUCAGGGCCACCAAAUAUUUUGAUAGUCUUAUUU